This is a non-coding RNA of Mycena maculata, 97 nucleotides long. The record is from the annotation of a GenBank genome assembly. Lineage: Eukaryota; Fungi; Basidiomycota; Agaricomycetes; Agaricales; Mycenaceae.
GACCUGGUUGUGAAAUGUAUCAUGCCCGCCCUCAUUUCGGUGUAACCAUCUAGCAGAUCGAUGGUGGGAGCUCCCGGUUCGAUUCCGGGCCAGGUCG